Molecule: unclassified non-coding RNA, 24 nt
Filed under: Mus musculus (house mouse)
Lineage: Eukaryota; Metazoa; Chordata; Mammalia; Rodentia; Muridae
Description: oocyte_clustered_small_RNA4702
Source: RNAcentral
UUCAGAUGAUUCAUGGCGGAGGUG